UACGGAGGGUGCAAGCGUUAAUCGGAAUUACUGGGCGUAAAGCGCACGCAGGUGGCUGAGAAAGUCGAUUGUGAAAGCCCUGGGCUUAACCUGGGAAUUGCAGUCGAAACUACUCGGCUAGAGUAUGGGAGAGGGUAGUGGAAUUCCGGGUGUAGCGGUGGAAUGCGUAGAGAUCCGGAAGAACACCGGUGGCGAAGGCGGCCUGCUGGGCAGUAGCUGACACUGAGGCGCGACAGCGUGGGGAGCAAACAGG
This 253-nucleotide ribosomal RNA is filed under the name uncultured bacterium. Its description in RNAcentral is "partial 16S ribosomal RNA". It matches the Rfam family "Bacterial small subunit ribosomal RNA", at positions 524 to 776 of the family's 1533-position model. The record is from RNAcentral.